RNAcentral lists this ribosomal RNA (253 nucleotides) under uncultured bacterium. RNAcentral's name for it is "partial 16S ribosomal RNA". It matches the Rfam family "Bacterial small subunit ribosomal RNA", at positions 524 to 776 of the family's 1533-position model. The record is from RNAcentral.
UACGGAGGUGGCAAGCGUUGCUCGGAAUCACUGGGCGUAAAGGGCGCGUAGGCGGCGCGGUAAGUCGGGUGUGAAAUCUCGGAGCUUAACUCCGAAACUGCAUUCGAUACUGCCGUGCUUGAGGACUGGAGAGGAGACUGGAAUUUACGGUGUAGCGGUGAAAUGCGUAGAUAUCGUAAGGAAGACCAGUGGCGAAGGCGGGUCUCUGGACAGUUCCUGACGCUGAGGCACGAAGGCCAGGGGAGCAAACGGG